This 253-nucleotide ribosomal RNA is filed under the name uncultured bacterium. RNAcentral's name for it is "partial 16S ribosomal RNA". It matches the Rfam family "Bacterial small subunit ribosomal RNA", at positions 524 to 776 of the family's 1533-position model. The record is from RNAcentral.
UACGUAGGGGGCAAGCGUUGUCCGGAUUUAUUGGGCGUAAAGAGCGUGUAGGCGGCCAUGCAGGUCAGCUGUGAAAACUCGAGGCUCAACCUCGAGACGUCGGUUGAAACCGUAUGGCUAGAGUCCGGAAGAGGAGAGUGGAAUUCCCGGUGUAGCGGUGAAAUGCGCAGAUAUCGGGAAGAACACCCGUGGCGAAGGCGGCUCGCUGGACCGCAACUGACGCUGAGGAACGAAAGCUAGGGGAGCAAACAGG